This is a long non-coding RNA of Cygnus olor (mute swan), 279 nucleotides long. RefSeq lists it as uncharacterized. The transcript has 3 exons. NCBI's taxonomy places the organism in Eukaryota, Metazoa, Chordata, Aves, Anseriformes, Anatidae. The record is from RefSeq and is a predicted model, not a curated record.
UGUCAGCACAGUUUGUGAUCUGUCAAUUCAGUGCAUGCAGAUUGUGUAUGGCAGACAAGCAAAAUGUGGUCCUGUCAGCCCAAGACUUCAAAAACAGUCUGAGAUACAGGUCCUUAGGAAGACAAAGGUAGUGAAAGGGUCCAAGACAGGUUAUAAGCAAGCAAGUGAGCUAGGAGAACAUACCCUCUUACUUCUCCUCAGCCAGGCCUCCUCGCAGAGCUGCAUGAAGAGUGUGACACGAAGCUGCUUGGGGAAAAGGGACGGUGCAGAGGAAGACAG